UCCUUCUACUCUACUCUCUGAGAGGAGCUCACCUCUCUUUCUGCACAACUUCCAUGGAGGAGAGUUGCAGGUCUCCAGCUCACACAGCAAGGGAAACCUCCUCCCUACCCAAGCUCUACCAACCUUCAAGCAGGCCUGCCUGGAGCAGACUGCUGAAACCUUCCAAAAGUCAGCGUCUCGAGAGCCUGCCUAAGAACUUCAACACAAGAGCUGCAUCGCACAGCAGAACCACAAACACAGGAGCCACAAACCAGCAAGACGACUUCACUGGACUUCAAACAGCACAUCAACUUGUUUUCCCUUUUCAUGAACUGGGGAGGAACUGUUGUACUGCAAUGUGAUUGGCUCUACAUCAGAUUCCUGUAUUAGUGUGUAUGAAGUGACAAUGAUAGCGCCACCUGGUGGUCGGUGUGAAAAUGAAGUUUAAGCAAUCGUCCCCAAAAUCCUGUCACAUGAUCAGAGCCCUGUCCUGAAGAGAUCUAUGAGUGUGUAUGCAGUGUUAGUGAUAGCGCCACCUACUGAUCAAGUCUGUCGCUCUCUUUUAUACCAGCCAGUUUCUCUCUCUCUCUCUUGGUCUGUAUAUCUCUCUCUUAAAGCAACCAGUCUGUUUCUCUCUCUCUCUCUUUCUCUCUCUCUUUCUUUCUAUUUUAUAAUAGCCAAUCUCUCUCUCUGUCCCGCUCUCUCUCUGUCCCGCUCUCUCUCUGGGUCUCUCUCUCUGGGUCUCUCUCUCUGUCUCUCUCUCUCAAAUUGACACAGUCUGUCUCUCUUCCCCCCCAAAAAAAGCGUCUCUUUUCGAGCCGGCAAAUUCUAGGCACCCAUUCGAAAUUUCUCGGCAGGAGGAAUUUUCUAGUAUCCUUUUAUUAUUGCCAUAAUAAAUGUUUUCUUUAACAAAUGUUGCAUAAUUGUGAAUUUUGCUCACCUCUAACAUAAACAAUGUUUGGUUGAUUGUUUAUCACAGACUUUUUCACCACCUACUGGCCCAGCAAGAUCGUUUGAGUGUUUGUUAUCUGCAGUAGUUUAGACAAGGCCUUUGUCUGUAGUGAUGUGCUAAUUUUAGAGUUCGACUUACAGGCCAGUUUGCCUGAAAGAGGAAAUAGAAAUGCAUUUGUAGACUUGUGGUCAAUCACGUUGCAACAUAAACAAACAAAUAUAAAAAAAUAAAAAUAUUAGAAAUAAAAAAUGUUUUCUCAUAUUCGUCAUAAGACUCUUUAAUUACAUUCAGCAUAGCAGAUAACAUGUCAAGGAAAUGCCAUUACAAUCAAAGUAGCCUAUUAAUACAAACAUAUAAAAUAAUGAAUAUGGUCUGAGGCAGCUUUUAAUUUUGUGUAGUCACAAAGUCUGAAUCACUUGUAAUAACAGAUGUUUGCUCAGGUGUUGUUUUGGGUGUAAAGCUGACAACAUCAUAGGGGCUUUGCUCUUCUUCUUGGGGCUGAUGUGUCUGGAUCUUUGAGUAGAGAGCAUCUCUGUUGUUGGGGUGUUGAACCCUGCUAUAGUGACUAUUUUCCUCAUCUAUUGGUUGAGCUGAGAUGUCAUCGUAAACAUGAUCUGGGCUUAUCUGAUGAAGAGACAAGAGAAACAUUUUUAUUUACUAAUUCUGUGUUUUUAAAAUUCUCUAGAUGAAAUUAACAUAUUCCUAAUGGAGGUCAAAUGAAUGGAAGGGUAAAUUAAAAACUGAAUUGUACUCGGAAAAUAAAACAUGAUUUAUGUACAGUAUUGUAAAAUAUAACAUUCCUGGAACAUAUGGGACAAUGCAUCUCUGUUUCAUUAGAACAAUGGUUGAAGCUGCUGUUUGGACUCAGUUGAACUCUCUGAAGAGAUGAGGACGUUUGUCUAAUGGAAGAAACUGUUAAAAUUCUCUGCUUUACCUCCUCCAAGUUGACAGAGGUUUCAGUUCUAGGAGACUGGAUGGAAGUCUUCUUUCUUCUAGAGAGUGAAAUGAAUAGGUGAAGCCAGGUUAGUGUGAAAGAGAAUGUGAAAGUCAUUGUUUUGAAGCAGAGCACAGUGAUGCUCACCUGAUCCACAAGAAGACGAUGAUGGGUAUUACAACCAGGAGAAGAGCAACAUAUCCUAUGGCUGCUUGAGUCCUUUUUCUUCUUCUGUGGACAGUGAGCAUCUUUUGAUGAGAGCUCUUUUGGAGCAUUUUAACUUUGCAGGAGUAGUUUCCUUCAUGUUCACUGCUGACGGGGUCUAGAACCAGGUACUUGCUU
Long non-coding RNA from Pleuronectes platessa (European plaice), 2207 nucleotides. RefSeq lists it as uncharacterized. The record is from RefSeq and is a predicted model, not a curated record. The transcript is spliced from 2 exons. NCBI's taxonomy places the organism in Eukaryota, Metazoa, Chordata, Actinopteri, Pleuronectiformes, Pleuronectidae.